GGGGACGUAGCUCAAUUGGUGAGAGCUCCGCAGCGAUCCUGCGGAAGAUGGAGGUUCAAACCCUCCCGACCCCA
This 74-nucleotide transfer RNA is filed under the name Candidatus Parcubacteria bacterium. Its description in RNAcentral is "tRNA-Ser". It matches the Rfam family "tRNA". Rfam says of the family: Transfer RNA (tRNA) molecules are approximately 80 nucleotides in length. Their secondary structure includes four short double-helical elements and three loops (D, anti-codon, and T loops). Further hydrogen bonds mediate the characteristic L-shaped molecular structure. tRNAs have two regions of fundamental functional importance: the anti-codon, which is responsible for specific mRNA codon recognition, and the 3' end, to which the tRNAs corresponding amino acid is attached (by aminoacyl-tRNA synthetases). tRNAs cope with the degeneracy of the genetic code in two manners: having more than one tRNA (with a specific anti-codon) for a particular amino acid; and 'wobble' base-pairing, i.e. permitting non-standard base-pairing at the 3rd anti-codon position. Lineage: Bacteria; Candidatus Parcubacteria. The record is from RNAcentral.